GCCAGCAUAGCUCAGUUGGUAGAGCCACUGAUUUGUAAUCAGUAGGUCGGGGGUUCGAGUCCCUCUGCUGGCUCAA
Molecule: transfer RNA, 76 nt
Filed under: Cryomorphaceae bacterium BACL7 MAG-120910-bin2
Lineage: Bacteria; Pseudomonadati; Bacteroidota; Flavobacteriia; Flavobacteriales; Cryomorphaceae
Also listed under: 1 other name
Description: tRNA-Thr
Rfam family: tRNA
About the family: Transfer RNA (tRNA) molecules are approximately 80 nucleotides in length. Their secondary structure includes four short double-helical elements and three loops (D, anti-codon, and T loops). Further hydrogen bonds mediate the characteristic L-shaped molecular structure. tRNAs have two regions of fundamental functional importance: the anti-codon, which is responsible for specific mRNA codon recognition, and the 3' end, to which the tRNAs corresponding amino acid is attached (by aminoacyl-tRNA synthetases). tRNAs cope with the degeneracy of the genetic code in two manners: having more than one tRNA (with a specific anti-codon) for a particular amino acid; and 'wobble' base-pairing, i.e. permitting non-standard base-pairing at the 3rd anti-codon position.
Source: RNAcentral